Molecule: long non-coding RNA, 395 nt
Filed under: Pan troglodytes (chimpanzee)
Lineage: Eukaryota; Metazoa; Chordata; Mammalia; Primates; Hominidae
Description: long non-coding RNA NONPTRT004759
Source: RNAcentral
AAUGUUCAACAGAGAAGCUAGAAAGGUACCUCCUUGGAAAGGAAGCUACUGGAGGAUGUACUUCAGCAACAUGAGGGAGAAAGAGCAAGACAUGGAUUUCAAAAAGCAGGAACUUCAACACAUGAGGACAAUGAAGGGAAAUCCAGAUUGACAGCUAUGUAGCAGCCGGGAAAGCAACUAGUCCAACUGGAAGCAAGAGGAAGAACAAUGGCUUCAGAAGGAAUGUCUCAGGCAGGGUAUUUUGAUGGUAUUUUCAGGAAGCUAGCAUUCAGCAGUCUUGGAGUUUCCCCCAGUGUAUGACCAAGACCUGCUCCCUGCAGUGGCUUAAGGCUCUCCACAAAGAACAGAGUGUUCCUCAAAGGCCACUUGAAACUCUUCCUCAGAUAUCUCCAUGA